GGAUUGUGGCUCAGUGGUAGAGUGCCUGUCUAGCACAUUCAAGGCCCUGGGUUCAAUCCUCAGCACCA
RNAcentral lists this transfer RNA (68 nucleotides) under Marmota monax (woodchuck). RNAcentral describes it as "tRNA.Ala". Lineage: Eukaryota; Metazoa; Chordata; Mammalia; Rodentia; Sciuridae. The record is from RNAcentral.